UUGCCCUUGGUGUGCCCGCCACAUCCCGCCACACGCUCAACCUCUCUCUCACUGAUACCCGACGGACGGCGGCUUGCAGAGAGGUGAGCACGGAGGAACAGACGCACAGGCAUUCGUUCAGAGCAUUAAAAAGUACGUUUGUGCUUUGCCUUCCUUAGCGCUCCGCUGCGCACUAGAAUCCAUCACUACCCUCGCGCCCUUGCCACCCUCUGCGCCCAGUUAUCCAUUCUACCUUCUCCCUGAUAUCUACGCUUGGAUGCCCUCAAAGGAGUUCUCGGUGCCUUCCCGCGCCGCCUGCCCUGUAUCGUGCUCAUCCUUUGUGAACAGCCGCUUCUGCAGCUUGCCCCUCUGGGAUGAUGCUCAGGUGGUCCAGGAAAACUGGGGCGGCCCGCUGGCUGUGCCCGUAGCGAGCGGCGGGGGCGACGACGGGGGCAAGGAAGCAAAGCAAGCCUUGAGCAAAUCCAAGAAUAUCACUGGUGGCAGGAACGCGCUAACGUGCGCGGCAGAGGCGCACUUUGAGGACGAGGCAACGCGUCACAGCGUCGAGGAUUUUAUCGCAUUGCUCUGCCCGCCGCUACAGUCGGACCCGGAGGCCGGGGAGGUGUGCGACGGGUCCUCGCCCAACGAGGUGACCUGGCUUCGACCGGCGGAGGUGUUCUCCCCUUUCCGUCCAGUGGUGCACCGCAACGUUACACCGUUCGUUAACCCGUACGCAACGGCGGAGACUUUGGUGCCGGUCGAUGCCAAGGCAGAGGAGACACGGUGCCAGGAGCUGUUGUCUGCUGCCGCUUGCAACGCCAACAACAGCACCGGACACCGCAAGAGCGCCGGUCUCGCGCGGCAGAGCGACGUGGCGACUCCUGAGCCGCAGGCGUUUCAUCUGCUGUACCCCGAGACCAUCAGCGUACUGGACACGUUCUCGCAUGAGGAGAGAGGGCUUUGGUCGAACUGCACGCCUACAGAGUCGGUGAGGCGAUAUCGAGCGCUGCCCCCGCUAAUGCAGCCUUACGAUGGCGCACUGAUUGCUGGCUGCGCCGAGACGCCGGCGCAGGCGUGCGAGUCGCGCUACAGCACCAGUCUGCGCCACAAGCUCAAGCAAGCCGAACAGCUGGCUGCCCUAACAAACGCGCCGCCGUUCCUGAUGAGUGCCUUUAACAGCGCUCUGCUGGCGGUGGAGCAGGCGCAGCGGUACGUGCCGGAGGGGUGGUACCUGUGGGAACUUGUAUACCCGCAUGCCCCCGGCACGUGCCACCCAGUGUACAACCCGUUUGGCAAAUACGCCGUGAAGCUGUUCGUCGACGGCGCCUACCGCAAGGUGCUUGUGGAUGACUGCCUGCCAGUAGACGUGCUUGGCCGUCCGCUGCUCAGCACUACAAGCCGGAAGGAGCUCUGGCCAUGCCUAAUCGCGAAGGCCGUGCUGAAGGCGCUCGGCGCCGUCAGCGGAGUGCAGGCCUUGACCUCUUCACCGGAGCUGAUUGUGGCGACGCUGUUGGGCAACUGGGUGCCGCAGUACCUUUCCCCGAGACACAACACCGUCUCUGCGACCGCGCUGCUUCUCCUCUACCAGCGUCAGCUGACGCAGCUGGAGAGCCUGGCGGAGCCGUUUGCGAAAGAGUCGAUCGCAAGCGCAGCGGGGCAUGGCGGGGCCGACGGCACGGGCGACGUUACGGGGAAAGACAGGAAGAACAGUGCGCGUGGCCAGCGCGUGUCGGUGGUCACUGCGCCGCAGAAGCGCACCCCGUCAAUCGGCGCUGGUAGACCUUCGGUGAGGCGGCAGCAGAGCAGCCGUUCAAGUGGAGUCUCUGGCGGUGACAACGAAGAGGAGGACGCACUGAAGCCGCUGAGGGCUACGGAGUAUUGCGAGCCGGUCAUUGAUGAGCCCCUGCCUGAGCAGCCCUUUUACGUCUGCGGCUUGCACGCACCGCCCGCUGAGGCGCUGAAGUCGGAAGCUGCACAUACCGCCCGCGGCGGCUACGGCUUCGGACCGCAGCUAUAUACGAUCCACGCGAUGAGGCCCUUUCGCAACACAGUGGCGCUGUUGCUGCACACCACUCCCCGCGCGUGCCUCUCCGAGGGAGUUUUCGAGGAGGAUAAGGACGCAGACGACGUGAGCACACUGCAUGACUGGAGCAGUCGCACUACAAAACGCGGUGCGCAUGCAGCCAGCUCAGUGAAACCGCCACGUGCUCCCGACGGUGUAGCACCGGCCGACGCCGUCGGUGCACAAGGGGGCCCGACUCCCAUCACGGACAUGGUCGUCAUGGACAGCGACAGAGCGGCUUCUGUGACUUCCUGCUGGCUGACGCUGGAGGAAUUCAUGCUACGCAUGGACGCGAUCAUUGUCUGGCGCAAGCUGGCCGGGCGGUAUGCCAACGCCGUCUCCGUCAGCGGAGAGUCUCUCCUGCGUCACCAAGGCCAUGUCUCUGCGACCGGAGACAACGGGGCCAGUGAUUCCUCGUCAUCAGCGGCGUCGCGCAAGAAGUCACCGCCCGCGCGCCGCGGGGAGACAGCGACGACGGCCGCCGCGGCAUCCGGUGCCACCGCACAGCCCCCUACUCCAUCGCCGCCGUCGAGUAUGUGGUGGAAGCUGACGGCCGAGAAGGCGUCGGAGGCGGUUGUCAUCGUGUCGUGCCCGGCGCUGACGGAGGCCGUCGGUCGCGGCACCCUCGCCGAAAAGGUGCCGCCGGCGACGGCGCCAUUGUCUCACUCUUGGCUGUCGGUGGGGUUGCCGGACAAGGUGGCUAGCUGUGAGGAGUCACUCGAGCCCGCGGGGGCACAACUGCAGCGGCGCGUGCACUUUCACCACGUUCAGUGGGAUCGUGCGGAGCCGCUGAACCACAUCGGAUCCCUCACCUACGCGAACGGCGUUCUGUGCUCGACGGUGCUGUACUUCCGCCCCGGUGUGCAUCUGAUCCGCGUUGAUCUACACCACGUGCAGGUCGCUGAUAAAAUUUCCUUUCUCUCUGACGCUGAGAUGGACGUGCAGUUGGACCUGUCGCACGACGCCAGCCGCGACGGAUUUGCAUGCGUGACAGACGCCGGCGUAUACCCGGCAGUGCAGUCGUGCGACACGGAGAAUGUGUGGCUGAAGCGCGUCUUCACCCUCGCUGCCCCGACGUGUGUGACGCUGCAACUGUCGACGCUGGACUCCACCGAGGAUGUGGGGGCGCACCGGCAGAUUUACACCGCCGCUAGCCGGGCAUCUGCAGCAGCGUCGGGUGGGAGGGGCGGCGGCAACCACAGCAACGCGGCGGCGAGCGGGCGGGGCGCACCGCACGGUGGGGGCACCGCUGCGGGGGCUGGAAAGUCUGGCAACGCGCCUCCGGGGCCAGGCUCCACUGCCGCGGACGGAAAGAAGCGCGGUGAUGGAACGCUGACGGCGGAUGCGAAGAAUGGCGUCGUAUCAACCGUCCCGGCCAGGGAUGCCUCGGUGCCCAUCUUGCGGUUCACCUCGCUCGUGCUGGUGAACCUAGACCGCCCAGAGGACUUCUGCGUCGGGACUGCUGGACGACUGGUGAAGCUGCAUCUGAAGCCGAACGAGAAGGGGUAUCUGAUCAUGGCAUACACCGUUGUGCCGUCCCUUAUGGCGCAAAAUGCGCAACGGCAUAACAAGGCCGCUGACGUGGCCGGCGGUACGGGCUCGUUGCUGCCAACGAUCACGCCGAUGGACUCGCUCGCAGAGGAGGAGGGGCUCCAGCCGCCAGAGUCGUCGUCGUUGGGUAACUCAUUUUCUCCCGCUGCCUCCACGGCGCCACCGCCGCUCUUUCCUGCGGGGCGGUGGAAGCUGGUACUUCGCUCCAAUGCGGAGCUGCAAACCUUCGACGCCGUUGCCCACGACUUGCAUAACGUGGCGAUCGUGGCUGACCUCCCUCGUGGUGGAUCGCCGAUCCUGUUCCGCCGCACGUGCACGAUUGUGGAGACUACCCAUGUCUCCAUCGUCGCGGACCUGCGUGCCCCCGUUCCCAUGCCGUACACCGUGCGCAUCGUGCGCCUGCCUGCGCCAGCAGCGUCGACGUCGACAUCCACUACACCGAGAGCGCUGCGGGGACCUAACAGCAACAUCCUGCCUGCCAGCGUGCCGGAGCCGCUCGCGAUAGAUGCUGGCCGCGGUGCCGGGGCAGCGCCUUCGCGCGGGAGCAUGUUUGUCGUAUACGAGUCGCCCCCCACGCAGCACCGCCUCUUUGUCGCCGACGUUCUUCUCAGUGCUGCGGCCGACACGAGCUUGGCGAAGGGCGGCAAAGGGCCUGCCACGUCGAGUUCGACAGGGGGAGGGAUGACGGCCUACGCUAUUGAGGCCGCCGUCGCCGAGGCGGACGCUGCGGCGUGGAACGAGCGCUGUCGGCGGAGCCAAGAGGACGCGUUUCUGCAAUACCGCGAGGCUGCAGAAGAACAGGCCUCCGUUUCGAGCGGGCGCGACCUGGCCGAGUACCAGCGAGACCCUGUCGCCUUUGUGCAGCGUAAGAGGGAGGCCUCCGCUCAGCGCCGACAGUUUGCCACGGAGGCUGCUGAGAAGGCCACACCGCGCUCGACAGCGAUAGCGCGGAAGCGUAGUGGCAUGACACGGCGACAGAGUCAUCACCUGUCUGCGGGGCUGGAGAACCUUCCGAAGGACUCGCCUCGUCGGCACUCAUCGUGCACGCAGCCAGAAAUGGCGCAGGAGGGCGACAUUCGACACAGCCUGGACAAUGUAGACCCCGACACAAUCGUACGCAUGAGCGUUCACCUGAGCUUCUCCACCUCGCGCGCAGAGGUGAAGGCAGACACGCCGGCGCCAGACGCGCUCGUGGAGCUACGCAAGCACAUGAGGGAGACGGUGUCGUGGCUGCAGGAGUGGAAUGAGCCCGGCUCCGCUGGUGGGGACUCGACGGCAGCCGCGUGCAGCGUUAGCCCCAUGGGGGCUGCCACCUCGUCGGGCGGCAAAUCGGGGGCGCAGCGGGGUCAGCGCGAUGCGGCCGCCGCGGCUGCCACCGUGGAGGAUGCUUUGCGAUCCGAGGCAGCCCGGCAGAGCCGCGUCGAAUACCUGCGCAACCCGCAGCACCUCUUCGUCCCCUCCUUCGACUCAGAGUACAACACGGACGCUGCCGAAACGCCCACCAUCGCCUCCUUCGCACAUCGAGCGAGGCACGACGCCAGCGGCAACAGUAGCGGGACCGGGGCUGCUCACUCCGUAGCAACCGGCGGCAUUCAAGGCGCACGCUCCUAUCGCAGGGAGCUCUCCCAGGCGAGCGUAGGCACGUGUGCGAGUCUCUCGGACGACCCUCAUGCGCCGUACUCGCCACCCGUGCUGAUGCAGGAUGGACCCGCCACGCAGUUUCGCUACGCGGCCCCGCUGCAGCAGCCGCAGUACUGCAUCGAGCUCCUGCCACUGCGAAGCUGGGAGGAGUCUCCGAGCGUUGCCAGUCAAGGUAAGGAUGGCGCUGGGGGCCUUGGUGCCGCUGGGGCUGCGGCGACCAACCGCGGAAAGCGACUGAAGAGCUCAGGCUCACCGUCUGCGGCCUUGUCUGCACCAGCUCGUCCGCACGGUAGCGGGCCGGUGAUGACGAGCGGCAGCUCUCCCCGAUCCUUUGCGGAGGUGACGCCAAGCGGCCUCUCUACCGCAGCUGCUGCCGCCGCAUGCACCCUGUCUUGCCCGCUCACAGCCGCCGAGCGCGAGACGAUCCUUCUGCGCAUGCGUCGACCCCUGGCCGAGGCGUCGGAGAGCUGGGACCUCGCUCUCGGCCAGGCACGCGUUGCGAAGAGUGAGAGCCAGGCGCAGCUCCGAAGUAGCUUCCACGCGUACUAUGAGGCGAUGGUGGAGCAGAAGGCGGCGAGCGGCGACAUGAGUAGCAUAGCUGUUCCCGUUGUGUACCACUCCCUGCUGGGUCUCAAGGAGGAAGACCUGGGGGUGUCACUCAGGCCUACAAAGUCGCUUGUGCUUACGUAGGUCUAUUGGUUUGCUUGCGGGGUUCUUGCCGGGCACCGACCAUCCCUCCGUUGUGCUCAUCGGUAGACGCGAUUAGGGGUGAACUCAGUGUUGCGCUUGUCCCUUUCUCCUUCACCUCCUCCUCCCCUCUCUCUUUUGCCCCCCUGCAGCGUGUCCAUGUGGGUCUUUCCCUGAAGGGCGCUUCGUUCAUCGACUUUACGGUCUUCAUUCAUGUACAAGAGCAUCUUUUUGUUUUCUGUGGUCGGCGUUGCGUGAUAAGCGCCUCCUUUUGCGUCUCCGUCUUUCAUGCUCCCUCUUCGUGGGCGCACGCGGCGUCUGAGAGGCUGUCAGUCUGCCUUGCAGCGCCUCUCCCGUGGCCCGCCGAUGUACUAGGGCGUUGCCUCUGCCUUCCCCCUCUGCCUCCCUCUCCUACGCUGAAAUGUACGCGGAGGCUUUUGAAUGGAAGCGGAUCUGCGCGUGUGUGGCGGAGUGACGAGAGGGGGAGAGAGGGGUUGCGGGAGAAACCCGUUCCGCUCUCGAGCAGUGUCCCUGGCGACACCUUUCCGAAAGGUAAACCAAACGGUUUAACUGAAGCACGCAUGCAGCAGGAAGUGGCGGCUCCGUGCCGGCUGUGGCUCAUGCCCAGGGGAUGUGCGAUCCCCACCGCCGGCAUACAUCCGGCCUUUGUCGCGACCAAACGAUCUG
Molecule: unclassified non-coding RNA, 6607 nt
Filed under: Leishmania donovani
Lineage: Eukaryota; Euglenozoa; Kinetoplastea; Trypanosomatida; Trypanosomatidae
Description: gene:LdHU3.32.1360(CDS-product:Calpain_family_cys teine_protease_putative)
Source: RNAcentral